CAAAGCCUCUUCAGCAAAGCCUGUCAGGGAUACAAGCUAGCUCAAAGGGCAGCAUCCAAAGGUCUCAUUAAAAGAGUGUGACAGGAUGCCAUUGCCUUGUGCUGUGCAGGGAGGUGACCAUCUCUCUUGGCUUCUGGGCUGCUUGAUUGCGUGCUUCGAUGCUAGUGGUGGCUACUCUGAGCCCCCAGAAUCUGUAGCUUAUCCCUACCAGGGAGAGACGACGCGGCUGGAAAUGCGAAUGCUGUCUGUGUGCAUUGGUAGCCGAAGGCGGAACAGCUGGAUGCCAGGCAGGGAAAGAAGAACUGGGUUUUGCUAUUGACAGGCAAAAAGCAGCUUCAGUGGAAACUGCAAACGCAUGUGGUUGGUUCUGAGAGGACUGAUGUUGCUUAUAUAUUUGCAACGUUACCUCAAGCAGCUCACAAGAACAAAAGGCAGCUGAGAAUGAGAGCCAAGACAAGGAGGUGCGAUUCAGCUCAAAAGCAAAGAGAUCUCUGCUGACAGAAACCUGGGCCUGAUCCCUUCCGCCACAAGAGCACAAGCAUGAUCUACCUUUUUCAAGCAAAUGCGCCUGGCUCAAUCCACCAAUGGCUGGCAGAGAUCAGCUAACUUGAGGUCACCUCUCUUAACAUUUUAGAUUUUCACUCAAGCUCAGUCCUUGUUAUAUAAAACUCAGUCUCUCAAUGAA
Molecule: long non-coding RNA, 685 nt
Organism: Rhineura floridana
Lineage: Eukaryota; Metazoa; Chordata; Lepidosauria; Squamata; Rhineuridae
Exons: 2
Source: RefSeq, a predicted model, not a curated record